RNAcentral lists this ribosomal RNA (467 nucleotides) under uncultured bacterium. Its description in RNAcentral is "partial 16S ribosomal RNA". It matches the Rfam family "Bacterial small subunit ribosomal RNA", at positions 28 to 506 of the family's 1533-position model. The record is from RNAcentral.
GACGAACGCUGGCGGCGUGCUUAACACAUGCAAGUCGAACGGAAAGGCCCUGCUUUUGUGGGGUGCUCGAGUGGCGAACGGGUGAGUAACACGUGAGUAACCUGCCCUUGACUUUGGGAUAACUUCAGGAAACUGGGGCUAAUACCGGAUAGGAGCUCCUGCUGCAUGGUGGGGGUUGGAAAGUUUCGGCGGUUGGGGAUGGACUCGCGGCUUAUCAGCUUGUUGGUGGGGUUGUGGCUUACCAAGGCUUUGACGGGUAGCCGGCCUGAGAGGGUGACCGGCCACAGUGAGAGUGAGGUACGGCCCAGACUCAUACGGGGGGCAGGGGUGGGGAAUAUUGCACAAUGGGCGAAAGCCUGAUGCAGCAACGCCGGGUGCGGGAGGACGGCCUUCGGGUAGAAAACCGCUUUCGCCUGUGAGGAAGCGUAAGUGACGGUAAUGGGCAAGGAAGCACCGGCUAACUACGA